This 103-nucleotide non-coding RNA is filed under the name Jeotgalibacillus malaysiensis. RNAcentral's name for it is "SAM-I sequence". It matches the Rfam family "SAM riboswitch aptamer (S box leader)". From Rfam's summary of the family: The SAM riboswitch is found upstream of a number of genes which code for proteins involved in methionine or cysteine biosynthesis in Gram-positive bacteria. The SAM riboswitch acts at the level of transcription termination control. The record is from RNAcentral. Lineage: Bacteria; Bacillati; Bacillota; Bacilli; Caryophanales; Caryophanaceae.
CUCUUAUCAAGAGCGGCGGAGGGAAGUGCCCUAUGAAGCCCGGCAACCGACAGUUUACUGGAAAGGUGCCAAGUCACACAGGUUGAUACCUGGCAGAUGAGAG